Molecule: ribosomal RNA, 402 nt
Filed under: Triticum aestivum (bread wheat)
Lineage: Eukaryota; Viridiplantae; Streptophyta; Magnoliopsida; Poales; Poaceae
Description: partial small subunit ribosomal RNA
Source: RNAcentral
AUGAAGCCUGACUCGGUGCCUGGUCCGGGCGGGCUUCCGGUUAGGUUCUUCGUAAAGUUUUGGAAAGUCAUAAAAGGAGUGGUAAUGGCUAUUUUCUGGGACUUUUAUAGGGGAGUGCUAGAUAUCUCCCGAUUGACCUAUGGGGUGGUCUCGUUGAUCCCCAAGGUGGUGGGGGCAACGGACAUCCGCCAAUUCCGGCUUAUCACAGUUAUAACCGUGAUCUUCCGCAUCCUUGCCAAGGCAUACGCCAUUAAGGCGACCCUGAUCGUGGCAAGGAUUACCCACCCAAAUCAGACGGCCUUCAUCCCGGGCCGGCUGAUCCAUGAUGGGGUGCUGGCCCUACACGAGAUAGUUCAUGAGAUUAAGACUAGUUGCCAGAAGGCAGUUCUCUUCCAGAUUUGA